Molecule: unclassified non-coding RNA, 430 nt
Filed under: soil metagenome
Description: partial contains 5.8S ribosomal RNA, internal transcribed spacer 2, and large subunit ribosomal RNA
Rfam family: 5.8S ribosomal RNA (bases 1-120)
Source: RNAcentral
GAUGAAGAACGUAGCGAAAUGCGAUACGUAAUGUGAAUUGCAGAAUUCAGUGAAUCAUCGAAUCUUUGAACGCAUAUUGCGCUCUCUGGUAUUCCGGAGAGCAUGCUUGUUUGAGUAUCAGUAAACACCUCAACUCCCUUUUCUUUUUUGAAAUUGGAGCUGGACUUGAGUGAUCCCAACGCUUUCUUCCAAGAAAGAGGCGGGUUGCUUGAAAUGCAGGUGCAGCUGAACUUUUCUCUGAGCUAUAAGCAUAUCUAUUUAGUCUGCCUAAAAAACAGAUUAUUACCUUUGCUGCAGCUAACAUAAAGGAGACUAGUUCUUGUGCUGACUGAUGCAGGAUUCACAGAGACAGCUUCGGCUGACUUUGUAAACUCGAUCUCAAAUCAAGUAAGACUACCCGCUGAACUUAAGCAUAUCAAUAAGCGGAGGA